AACGAACGCUGGCGGCAUGCCUAACACAUGCAAGUCGAACGAGACCUUCGGGUCUAGUGGCGCACGGGUGCGUAACGCGUGGGAACCUGCCCUUAGGUUCGGAAUAACUCCCCGAAAGGGGUGCGAAUACCGGAUAAUGUCUUCGGACCAAAGAUUUAUCGACUUUGGAUGGGCCCGCGUUGGAUUAGCUAGUUGGUAGGGUAAAAGCCUACCAAGGCGACGAUCCAUAGCUGGUCUGAGAGGAUGAUCAGCCACACUGGGACUGAGACACGGCCCAGACUCCUACGGGAGGCAGCAGUGGGGAAUAUUGGACAAUGGGCGAAAGCCUGAUCCAGCAAUGCCGCGUGAGUGAUGAAGGCCUUAGGGUUGUAAAGCUCUUUUAUCCGGGAUGAUAAUGACAGUACCGGGAGAAUAAGCUCCGGCUAACUCCGUG
RNAcentral lists this ribosomal RNA (433 nucleotides) under uncultured bacterium. Its description in RNAcentral is "partial 16S ribosomal RNA". It matches the Rfam family "Bacterial small subunit ribosomal RNA", at positions 29 to 507 of the family's 1533-position model. The record is from RNAcentral.